RNAcentral lists this ribosomal RNA (254 nucleotides) under uncultured bacterium. RNAcentral describes it as "partial 16S ribosomal RNA". It matches the Rfam family "Bacterial small subunit ribosomal RNA", at positions 524 to 776 of the family's 1533-position model. The record is from RNAcentral.
UACAGAGGGUGCAAACGUUGUUCGGAUUUACUGGGCGUAAAGGGCGCGUAGGCGGCCAGCACAAGUCAGUUGUGAAAUCUCCGAGCUUAACUCGGAACGGUCAACUGAUACUGUGCGGCUAGAGUGCGGAAGGGGCAACUGGAAUUCUUGGUGUAGCGGUGAAAUGCGUAGAUAUCAAGAGGAACACCUGCGGCGAAGGCGGGUUGCUGGGCCGACACUGACGCUGAUGCGCGAAAGCCAGGGGAGCGAACGGG